RNAcentral lists this ribosomal RNA (253 nucleotides) under uncultured bacterium. RNAcentral's name for it is "partial 16S ribosomal RNA". It matches the Rfam family "Bacterial small subunit ribosomal RNA", at positions 524 to 776 of the family's 1533-position model. The record is from RNAcentral.
UACGUAGGGACCAAGCGUUGUUCGGAUUUACUGGGCGUAAAGGGCGCGUAGGCGGCGAAUCAAGUCAGCUGUGAAAUCUCCGAGCUUAACUCGGAACGGUCAGCUGAUACUGUUUUGCUAGAGUGCAGAAAGGGCAACCGGAAUUCUUGGUGUAGCGGUGAAAUGCGUAGAUAUCAAGAGGAACACCUGAGGCGAAGGCGGGUUGCUAGGCUGACACUGACGCUGAAGCGCGAAAGCCAGGGGAGCAAACGGG